ACGCGAGACCCAGCUUCCAAAACCCAGAUCCUUGGACUGAACCCUUGGCUCACUGAACCCAGCUUUCCCUCCUUGACGAACGCGUUUGGACACUGCUUUUGAUUCUAGUUUCAUCCAGUUGGGAUAAUGGCCUCAUAAGAAGAGAAAAACCCAAUGGAAAUAGGAUAAUAUUCCUUAUGCAAGUUGGACUACUGCAAUGCAUUAUAAUUGGGGCUGCAUUUGAAGACAGUUCAGAAACUGCAGCUAGUACAGAAUUCAGCGGCCAGAUUGUUGA
This is a long non-coding RNA of Rhineura floridana, 274 nucleotides long. RefSeq lists it as uncharacterized. NCBI's taxonomy places the organism in Eukaryota, Metazoa, Chordata, Lepidosauria, Squamata, Rhineuridae. The record is from RefSeq and is a predicted model, not a curated record. The transcript is spliced from 3 exons.